RNAcentral lists this long non-coding RNA (987 nucleotides) under Ursus maritimus (polar bear). RNAcentral's name for it is "lncRNA (ENSUMAG00000014461.1)". The record is from RNAcentral. Lineage: Eukaryota; Metazoa; Chordata; Mammalia; Carnivora; Ursidae.
CCAAAAUGGCCACUCGAGUUCUAAAUUAUGUAUUGUUACAUUGGUCCAAUUAGUUAAAAAUGUGCAUGAGACUGAACUGUAAUUUUUAAGUGUAAAACCCAGACAGAGGAUGCUCCUGAGAAAUUUUAACAGAUUGGGAUACCAUUACUCAAAACCAGAUCUUCAGAAAGCAGAAGAGCACUCACCAGGAAGGACAACGCCUUCAUAAAAAUGACAACAAAAAAACAGAUCCUGAGUAAAGUCAGACCAAAAGCCAACCAGAAGGAGCUUGGAUCUAAGAGGAGACUCCCUGAACCGAAAGGAAAGAGAUGACCCAUGGAAGCAGAGAAACAGCUCAGGAGCUCAUGGUGCAAGAAAAAAGGCUAGAAGAGCUAGAAGAGGAGUUUUGCGAGCUUCUUCUGCCCCGGCCAGAUGCACAGAAAGGUGUUACCAAUUCCCAGAUCCUGGUGAGUUUGGGUCCCAGCUUCCUCUCAAGUUAGGACACCUGUUAUAAUGGUAGAGUUAAAUCUCUCACCCCAAACUAUCCUAGGAAUCUUCAGGAUAGAGAAAAUCGAAUAUGCUUAUAGGGACACUGAGAGAAAAGGUAAAGGAUGUUAGGAGUUUGGGUUUUAGUUCAAUUCUAUUUAUUUAAGGGGGUGGGAAGUUGGUGAACAAGUCUUUCAUUCUCCUAUCUACAUGGCAGUGAACUGAAUUAACUAGCAUGUUUGUAUGAAUCACUAACCAUAAAAUCACAUCAAGAUAGGUAAAAUCAGUCUUAAAAUAUUAAAAAGGGGUACCUGGGUGCUGCAGUAAGUUAAGCAUCUGACUCUUGGUCUGGGCUCAGGUCAUGAUCUCAUGGUGGUGGAACUGAGCCCCAAGUCAGGCUCUGUUCAGCAAGGAGUCUGCUUAAGUUUCUCCCCCUCCCUCGGUCCCUUCCCACCUGACCCCUGCAUUUGCUUGCUCUCUCUCUAAAAUAAAUAAAUAAAUCUUUAAAAAAAUAUAUCUUUA